UGUCGAAGGCCAUCCUUCAUUACCAGGUC
RNAcentral lists this non-coding RNA (29 nucleotides) under Mus musculus (house mouse). Lineage: Eukaryota; Metazoa; Chordata; Mammalia; Rodentia; Muridae. The record is from RNAcentral.